Long non-coding RNA from Aedes albopictus (Asian tiger mosquito), 1166 nucleotides. RefSeq lists it as uncharacterized. Lineage: Eukaryota; Metazoa; Arthropoda; Insecta; Diptera; Culicidae. The transcript is spliced from 3 exons. The record is from RefSeq and is a predicted model, not a curated record.
UUGAUAAACACUUUUAUUUCUCUACCUAAAAAAGCUGACAAAAUCGGGUCCCCACUGUAAUAAAAUGAGUCAUACUCUUACUCUUGUUCAAAACAUCAUUGCAAAGUGUACUCCGUACGUGUAUUAUUUUCAAGAACCAUUCUCAUUUCAUCACUUAACUAUCAACUCUUCAUCACGCUUGCCGAUAAGAUUGCUUCACUGUCCGUGUCGUGUUUUUCUGUAGCCCGGUACGUUGCCAAUCCAUUACCGUAAACUCACAAGCCGCUAUGCACUAACAAUCACUCUUCGUUCCUCCCAAAGGGUUGACUUCUACCCGCUAAUAAAAGUCACAAUUCGGAACAUUUUGAUGGCAUCACGUACUAUAAAACCACUAUAGCUCCCUCGGCUGCGUCGCGUCACCGUUAUCAGAAACGUUAUCAGAGCACAGCAAGACUGCACAAUGCAACAAUGCCAACAACAACAACACACCGUUUCGUGGAACGACAGCUUCAACCGCACUCUGGCACUCUUGCUCGUUUGAUGCAUCUCGUGUGGGGCCCCGUUGAAUCACCAACCGGCUCGUUCUCGCCCGGCCUUUUCGCGGCGUUCCACACCUUCACGCGUAUUUACGGAUUCAGUUGUAUGCUGGUGCGUAUAAUCCACAAAACGAUGCAGAAGUUCAUUCCUGCUGUGGAGGCUAACUACACACCAGCUGAUUUGGAUUUCACACGGUUCUACAACAAUGGCACACACACACGUGAUGGACGAGUUUGGACCAUAAGGUAACUGAAUUUCACUUUGAUUGACACUAUUUUGCCGCCCAUCACGCUACGAACCGCAGGAUGUGUGCCAAAACUGCCCACUACUGAAUAAUACGUAGCAAACGACCUCGUUCGCAUCAGUUUUGCUGGCGCAAGCAAUUGACCGGACAUGCAAGUCAAUUUCAGGAAUCUUCAGAACCGACGCAUUCCCAAUUCUACUAUUUGGCUGUCGCGCGGAACAGUUUCAGAGAUGAAUCCGCAACCGGCACUGGCUUCAUUCAACUAGGUACUCCCUCAAAACAAAUAUCGGCGAAAAAGUUCAUCACGCGCCAGACAGCUCGAAUACGUGCUGGAGAAACGUGGAAGCAGAAAGAGAAAUAAAUAAGUCAACAAAUAUGGUUAAUAAAAAGCCGUCUUAACCGUGAA